AAUACACUGACUGACUGAAAAGUCUUUCAGUCGGUAGUUUGCUUACAGAGUUGACACUUUGACCUGAGGGAGGCAUGACAGGAAAGCUCGCGGUGUGUGUAGGGAAGUUCCAUCCUCUGUGGAGCCUGCUCAACUACAUUUCUUAAGUAGUACUGUUCCUGUCAAAGCUUGAUGUUCCUGUGUAUAUAUUAUGUGGGAAUAUGUUCCGGAUGGUAAUGCCAGAGAAAACGUCAAGGGCUCGUCAAAUCAAUGGGCCUCACAUCUGACAUUAGUUGGUCAGGUAUCAAUCUGACCCAGGACCAAAGUGAUGGACGGACGGACCAACUGUAUUCAAACAAUACACUUUUCUUCCACAGCUAGUUGAGCAAAGGAAGAGGCGACCAGUAAGCGCCGAUAAAACUCGGAUAAUAGAAGAUAAAGAAGAAGAAAUUCAAAUAAUUUAUUGUCCUGAACAACUUCCUAGAUGACUGACUAUAGGAAAAGCUUAAUUGUCACUUAAGUGGCACAGACAAGACUGUGCUACCUAGCAUACUUAGCCAAUGUCUGCUCACUUGCUAAGCUAAGCUAAUCAAAACCCCUGUUUUCACUGGAAAUUCCUACAGGAAGUGCACCAAAGCUAUAGGAGUCAGAAGUGUGAAAUAUAAACCCUGUGUUUUGGCUGUGGAAGAAGCUGCAAAGAUCAGUGACAUGACAUCUAAAAAGGAUCCUGAGAUCUGCAUCUUGAAGACUCAUGAGUUGUUGUUAGAGGCUCAGUUUCUGAUGAAAGACAUAGAAGAGCUGCUGGUCUGGUGUACAUCAACAGGCCCCUCCAACCAGAGACGGUGCAGAACGAUGCAGCAGGAAUGUCAGGCCAGCAUAGAGGAGGACGGAGAGACCUUGAUCAUAGAGGGCUUCAGGUUUGAGAGUGCGGCCAGCAGGGAGGACCUGAGGAGGCUGCAUUCACAGGCUGGUGGUUCACAGGACGCCAGGGUGACACAUGACUGAUGCCUACCUCAGUAGUUUCAUCACACAAGGUCAACAAGGUCAUACAACUGGCAGAGGUAACAAUGGCAGACAGAGAGCCAACAAAUGACAUGAUUUAAAAUGAUGGGAGAAAGGCUAACGACUGACAUGUGUAGCUCCUUACAACAGAAAGGCAAAGCAGCAUGACACCAUGUUGUAUAGAGGAUAUAGACCAUUUUUAGAUAAAAGUUCGAAUUGUUCCUCAAUGUUUAUGUAAGACGAGUUAUUUGUUCAUUGUUGCUUGUUUUAAGAUAUUUGAUCAUUGAGAACAUACUUUUGACAGUUUUGAAUUGCCAUAUUUGCCACAAUGUUUGAGUUUACCAUUUUGGAAUAUGGCCAUACAGUUGACUUUGAGUGUUGUAUUUAUGAUAGUACUACAAUAUAUAUACAUAUAUAUACAAUAUAUUCCAGGAGGGGAUUUUAUAAGUUAAAGUUAGAAUGCCACUGUUUUGGCUAAUGGUGAUGACUUUGCAUUAUUCAUUUUACUUUGGUUACUUAUUGUCCAACCCAGCAUAGUACAUUUUGCAGUUGCAGUAGUGUGAUCUAUAUGGAUCAGUAGCUCACUGACAUAUUAUACAGUUCUGUCUCUUUUAUUUCAUUUAGAGUCGUUGCCUUUAAAUAUAGCCUGGGUCAUGCAAACCUUUAAUGUCCUUCUGUAUACAACAACACAAAGUGAAGGUUAGAUGGGGGCAUGGCUUUCUCUUUGAUUACACAGAGCUGUUAGACUAUUUAGUGUCCUUCCUGCUUGUACCCUAUUGUAGAUCAUCUUG
This is a long non-coding RNA of Siniperca chuatsi (mandarin fish), 1772 nucleotides long. RefSeq lists it as uncharacterized. The record is from RefSeq and is a predicted model, not a curated record. Lineage: Eukaryota; Metazoa; Chordata; Actinopteri; Centrarchiformes; Sinipercidae. The transcript has 5 exons.